This 163-nucleotide ribosomal RNA is filed under the name Durio zibethinus. Its description in RNAcentral is "5.8S ribosomal RNA". It matches the Rfam family "5.8S ribosomal RNA". Rfam says of the family: 5.8S ribosomal RNA (5.8S rRNA) is a component of the large subunit of the eukaryotic ribosome. It is transcribed by RNA polymerase I as part of the 45S precursor that also contains 18S and 28S rRNA. Lineage: Eukaryota; Viridiplantae; Streptophyta; Magnoliopsida; Malvales; Malvaceae. The record is from RNAcentral. RNAcentral also lists the same sequence under 11 other names.
AAACGACUCUCGGCAACGGAUAUCUCGGCUCUCGCAUCGAUGAAGAACGUAGCGAAAUGCGAUACUUGGUGUGAAUUGCAGAAUCCCGUGAACCAUCGAGUCUUUGAACGCAAGUUGCGCCCCAAGCCAUUAGGCCGAGGGCACGCCUGCCUGGGUGUCAUGC